UACAGAGGUCUCGAGCGUUAGGCGGAAUCACUGGGCUUAAAGCGUGUGUAGGCGGAUCGGUAAGUACCUUGUGAAAUCCCACAGCUUAACUGUGGAACUGCUUGGUAUACUGCCAGUCUUGAGCCAGCUAGGGGCUACCGGAACAAAUGGUGGAGCGGUGAAAUGCGUAGAUAUCAUUGGAACGCCAAUGGUGAAAACAGGUAGCUGGGGCUGUGCUGACGCUGAGACACGAAAGCCAGGGGAGCAAACGGG
RNAcentral lists this ribosomal RNA (252 nucleotides) under uncultured bacterium. RNAcentral's name for it is "partial 16S ribosomal RNA". It matches the Rfam family "Bacterial small subunit ribosomal RNA", at positions 524 to 776 of the family's 1533-position model. The record is from RNAcentral.